RNAcentral lists this ribosomal RNA (234 nucleotides) under uncultured Lactobacillus sp. Its description in RNAcentral is "partial 16S ribosomal RNA". It matches the Rfam family "Bacterial small subunit ribosomal RNA", at positions 129 to 354 of the family's 1533-position model. Lineage: Bacteria; Bacillati; Bacillota; Bacilli; Lactobacillales; Lactobacillaceae. The record is from RNAcentral.
CCCAAGAGAUCGGGAUAACACCUGGAAACAGAUGCUAAUACCGGAUAACAACAGAUGAUGCCUAUCAACUGUUUAAAAGAUGGUUCUGCUAUCACUCUUGGAUGGACCNUGCGGUGCAUUAGCUAGUUGGUAGGGUAACGGCCUACCAAGGCGAUGAUGCAUAGCCGGGUUGAGAGACUGAUCGGCCACAUUGGGACUGAGACACGGCCCAAACUCCUACGGGAGGCAGCAGGC